This 376-nucleotide ribosomal RNA is filed under the name uncultured bacterium. Its description in RNAcentral is "bacterial SSU rRNA". It matches the Rfam family "Bacterial small subunit ribosomal RNA", at positions 83 to 493 of the family's 1533-position model. The record is from RNAcentral.
UAGCAAUACUUAGUGGCAGACGGGUGAGUAACAUGUGGGUAUCUACCCUUUGGCCUGGAAUAACACGAGGAAACUUGUGCUAAUACCGGAUAAGUCUUUACGGAGAAAGCUUUAUGCACCAUUGGAUGAGCCCGCACUUGAUUAGUUUGUUGGUAGGGUAAUGGCCUACCAAGACUAUGAUCAAUAGCUGAUUUGAGAGGAUGAUCAGCCACAUUGGGACUGAGACACGGCCCAAACUCCUACGGGAGGCAGCAGUGGGGAAUCUUGCACAAUGGAGGAAACUCUGAUGCAGCGAUGCCGCGUGAGUGAAGAAGGCCCUUGGGUUGUAAAGCUCUUUCGUCGGGGAAGAAAAUGACUGUACCCGAAUAAAAAGGUC